Molecule: long non-coding RNA, 548 nt
Organism: Microcebus murinus (gray mouse lemur)
Lineage: Eukaryota; Metazoa; Chordata; Mammalia; Primates; Cheirogaleidae
Source: RefSeq, a predicted model, not a curated record
GCGCGCGCCCAGCCCGGGCGGUGGGCGUUGCUGGGCGGGGCGGCGGCGCCCCCUCGCGGCUGAGCGGGCAGGUGGGCGACUCCCAGGCCUUCGGCCACGCCCAUCAGCCUCUGUCCCUCUCAAAAUCACUCGCCUGACCUUCGCCGCUGGCAGACUCGGCCACAUUCUGCCAUGCGUCUGCCCGUUCAUCAGUCACUCGGCCAUCACAUGCCUGUCCCCUGGAGAGUCAGGUUUGUCCACCUGUCCGUCUGUCUGUCUCCCGGCCAGGAAGCCUAAGUUCAUAAGUGAAGUCACCUGCCACAGCCCCACAGCUAUGAAGUGGCAGAGUCAGGAUUCACACCCAAGACUGUCUGACCAAGCCGUGGCUCAGGAAGGCGAGUGUCGAGUGGUGCCGCAGCCUCUGGGCAUGUCCAGGAUCCUCAGUUGACUUGGACACAACACCGUGGGAAGACCCUGGCUGCCUAUGAAUGCAGGGGAAGGGCACGGUCUGGGUCACUGUCCUUCUUAAAACCUUCAGCACACCAGAAUAAAGCCCAAUUAUUUUCUAA